Molecule: ribosomal RNA, 581 nt
Filed under: fungal endophyte
Lineage: Eukaryota; Fungi
Description: eukaryotic LSU rRNA
Rfam family: Eukaryotic large subunit ribosomal RNA
Source: RNAcentral
UUGACCUCGGAUCAGGUAGGGAUACCCGCUGAACUUAAGCAUAUCAAUAAGCGGAGGAAAAGAAACCAACAGGGAUUGCCCUAGUAACGGCGAGUGAAGCGGCAACAGCUCAAAUUUGAAAUCUGGCUCCUUUGGGGUCCGAGUUGUAAUUUGCAGAGGGAGCUUUUGGCGUCGGUCGUGGUCUAAGUUCCUUGGAACAGGACGUCACAGAGGGUGAGAAUCCCGUACGUGGCCGCCGGCCUUCGCCUUGUAAAGCCCCUUCGACGAGUCGAGUUGUUUGGGAAUGCAGCUCUAAAUGGGAGGUAAAUUUCUUCUAAAGCUAAAUACCCGCCAGAGACCGAUAGCGCACAAGUAGAGUGAUCGAAAGAUGAAAAGCACUUUGGAAAGAGAGUGAAAAAGCACGUGAAAUUGUUGAAAGGGAAGCGCUUGCGGCCAGACGUGCCCGCGGUUGAUCAUCCAGGCUCCAGCCUGGUGCACUCCUCCGCGGGCAGGCCAGCAUCAGUUCGGGCGGUCGGAUAAAGGCCUCUAUCACGUACCACCCCUCGGGGUGGCCUUAUAGGGGAGGCGCAACACGGCCAGCC